GAUGAACGCUGGCGGCGUGCCUAAUACAUGCAAGUCGAGCGAACGGACGAGAAGCUUGCUUCUCUGAUGUUAGCGGCGGACGGGUGAGUAACACGUGGAUAACCUACCUAUAAGACUGGGAUAACUUCGGGAAACCGGAGCUAAUACCGGAUAAUAUUUUGAACCGCAUGGUUCAAAAGUGAAAGACGGUCUUGCUGUCACUUAUAGAUGGAUCCGCGCUGCAUUAGCUAGUUGGUAAGGUAACGGCUUACCAAGGCAACGAUGCAUAGCCGACCUGAGAGGGUGAUCGGCCACACUGGAACUGAGACACGGUCCAGACUCCUACGGGAGGCAGCAGUAGGGAAUCUUCCGCAAUGGGCGAAAGCCUGACGGAGCAACGCCGCGUGAGUGAUGAAGGUCCUCGGAUCGUAAAACUCUGUUAUUAGGGAAGAACAUAUGUGUAAGUAACUGUGCACAUCUUGACGGUACCUAAUCAGAAAGCCACGGCUAACUACGUGC
RNAcentral lists this ribosomal RNA (498 nucleotides) under uncultured bacterium. RNAcentral describes it as "partial 16S ribosomal RNA". It matches the Rfam family "Bacterial small subunit ribosomal RNA", at positions 28 to 508 of the family's 1533-position model. The record is from RNAcentral.